CUUAAUGCUUUGGCUGAUCACAGUUACUUCAAAGAGAGAUCCAAUGAUGAUGAUGUUGCAGAUAAUGUUACUAUUGUAAGACCAGACAACCUUCCCUUAAGUGACCACAUUUAUUGUAAAGGGACAUCUGAAGAGCAAAAAAAUGAUAAAACAGACAUGUUUCCUAAGGCAGGUCCCAGUUAUGAUGUACAACCUUCUUGCUCCUAUUCUCAAGAUGUAUCAUCUGUUAUAAAUCCUCAGAAAGAAAGUACAUCUGAUCCAUCUUCAAUGAAAAUGGAAAGCAGUAAGAAAGUCAAGAAGUGUUUUAAUCAGAACAGUAUGUGGUACUUUUCAUAAAAUGUAUUGUAAUAUCUUUAAUAUCAAGACUAGAGAUAUGUAUUUUUAAACCAACAAUUUUAUUUUUAGAGUCUAAAAUUAUUAAAAAGUUUUCAUCAAAGAAGAAACAAUUCAUAAAGGAUGUCACAAAUAUUGCUAGCAAAAGCAUAGGUGACACAGCAAUCCAAAGAAUUGAAAAGGCUGUUCUGAAUGGAAAGAAUGAUGCAUUGCUGAAGAAUUUAUUGCUUAAACAAACAAGCACAGACAUUUUUACUAAUGCAGUUAAAACAAUGUAGAAAAAACAAAAUGGGGCGUCGAUUCACAUUGGAUGAAAAGUUAAUUGCAUUAGCAUUGAUGAAGCAAAGUCCAAAGUCAUAUAGAUUAUUAGAAAAUAUGUUUGCAUUACCUAAUAAGAGAACUUUGCAUAGACUUGCAGAAAAUAUCAAUAUACAACCUGGCCUGAAUCCAAAAAUUUUUGAAUUUAUUAAACAAAACGAAAAAUUGGGAUACCCAACAAAAACUUUGCACGAUUGUUUUUGAUGAAAUAUCAUUAACACCUCAUCUGACCUACAAUGAGAAAAAUGAUCAGAUUUAUGGUUUUGUGGAUGUAGCAGGCGAAAGAAAAUUGAAGUUUUGCGAUCAUGCAUUGGUGUUCAUGGUCAGAGGGAUUUGUUCUUCUUGGCGACAAAGUGUAGCUUUUUAUUUCUGUGAAGGCACUGUUUCGUCAGCUGCUCUACAGUGUAUUUUAAAAAAGCUUAUUACUAAUAUAGCCGAGGCUGGGUUGAUUCCUUUGGGACUUGUAUGCAACCAAGGAUCAACAUUUCGAACUGCGAUAAAAUCUUUGAGGGCGGAAACUGUAAAA
This is a long non-coding RNA of Ostrinia nubilalis (European corn borer), 1177 nucleotides long. RefSeq lists it as uncharacterized. NCBI's taxonomy places the organism in Eukaryota, Metazoa, Arthropoda, Insecta, Lepidoptera, Crambidae. The record is from RefSeq and is a predicted model, not a curated record. The transcript has 4 exons.